CCUACGGGUGGCAGCAGUGAGGAAUAUUGGUCAAUGGGCGGGAGCCUGAACCAGCCAAGUCGCGUGAGGGAUGACGGCCCUACGUGUUGUAAACCUCUUUUGCCGGGGAGCAAAGGGCGGGACGAGUCCCGCCACGAGGGUACCUGGAGAAAAAGCAUCGGCUAACUCCGGUCCAGCAGCCGCGGUAAUACGGAGGAUGCGAGGGUUAUCCGGAUUUAUUGGGUUUAAAGGGUGCGCAGGCGGACGGGUAAGUCAGCGGUAAAAGGCCGGGGCUCAACCCCGUCCCGCCGUUGAAACUGGCGGUCUUGAGUGGAAGAGAAGUACGCGGAAUGCGCGGUGUAGCGGUGAAAUGCAUAGAUAUCGCGCAGAACCCCGAUUGCGAAGGCAGCGUACCGGCUCCAGACUGACGCUGAGGCACGAAAGCGUGGGUAUCGAACAGGAUUAGAUACCCGUGUAGUC
RNAcentral lists this ribosomal RNA (459 nucleotides) under uncultured bacterium. RNAcentral describes it as "partial 16S ribosomal RNA". It matches the Rfam family "Bacterial small subunit ribosomal RNA", at positions 338 to 795 of the family's 1533-position model. The record is from RNAcentral.